UUGGAAUCACUGGUAUAUCUACAGAUGAAGAUAACUUCUAUUGGCGUGGUCAGCAAUGAAACCAUCAUUGAAGGUGUUAAAGAGUUUUUCAGAGAACAGCUUCUGAAUGCAACAGCCUACACGGUCACCGUGACAAACAUUCAGAGGGUUACAGUUGCUCCAUAGAAGCUGCUUGUGGAUAUAUAAAGUUGCCUCAGCCAUUUGAUUUCUUGACAGUUUGAGAACAACCCAUCAAUUUCCCCAAAUCAUAAGAAGUAUCUAGAAUGCAUUUAAGGGGCAAGAAAGUUGUUUUUUUAUUAAAAACGGAGGUUUAGAUUUUAGGCUCAGUGCCCUUUUACAUAUCUUUAUCAUCAUUGUUAAAAACAACCCUCUACUAGGCAACAUUAAGACACAUUUCACUGUAUAAUCUCCAAACAAUAUUUUUAUUAUCACACUGUUGGCUUUAAUUCCCAGAAAUAUGAAUAGUGGAGAUGUCCAUUUGGCUUAAGUAUCAAAUUACUUGCACACUACAAUGGAAAGACUGGCAAUGAUAAUCUUGGUGAGUGCCUCAUACCAAGUGUAUGACAGUUGUACCUCGAUUCAGGGAAAUUAAUGUGGUAUAACUGACUGAAUAAAUGAGACAUAUCUAUCUGAA
This is a long non-coding RNA of Perca fluviatilis (European perch), 634 nucleotides long. RefSeq lists it as uncharacterized. NCBI's taxonomy places the organism in Eukaryota, Metazoa, Chordata, Actinopteri, Perciformes, Percidae. The transcript has 2 exons. The record is from RefSeq and is a predicted model, not a curated record.